Drosophila busckii is the source of this 82-nucleotide small nucleolar RNA. It matches the Rfam family "Small nucleolar RNA Me28S-Gm3255". From Rfam's summary of the family: Me28S-Gm3255 is a member of the C/D class of snoRNA which contain the C (UGAUGA) and D (CUGA) box motifs. This family directs 2'-O-methylation of 28S G-3255. NCBI's taxonomy places the organism in Eukaryota, Metazoa, Arthropoda, Insecta, Diptera, Drosophilidae. The record is from Rfam.
GUUUCUCUGAUGACACUUUACAUUUCUGACACCUCAUAUGAAUCACUGUGAUUCCAAUUAUUUGUAAUUAUAAGCUGAAAUU